RNAcentral lists this transfer RNA (65 nucleotides) under Nebrioporus cooperi. RNAcentral's name for it is "tRNA-Ala". Lineage: Eukaryota; Metazoa; Arthropoda; Insecta; Coleoptera; Dytiscidae. The record is from RNAcentral.
GGGAAUAUAGUUAACCAUAUAACGUUUAAUUUGCAUUUAAAAAGUAUCAAAAAAGAUUUUUCUCA